This 482-nucleotide ribosomal RNA is filed under the name uncultured bacterium. RNAcentral describes it as "bacterial SSU rRNA". It matches the Rfam family "Bacterial small subunit ribosomal RNA", at positions 23 to 507 of the family's 1533-position model. The record is from RNAcentral.
CUCAGAUUGAACGCUGGCGGAAUGCUUUACACAUGCAAGUCGAACGGGUAGAGGGGGCAACCCUUGAGAGUGGCGAACGGGUGAGUAAUAUAUCGGAACGUGCCCAGUCGUGGGGAUAACGUAGCGAAAGCUACGCUAAUACCGCAUACGAUCUAUGGAUGAAAGCGGGGAUCGCAAGACCUCGCGCGAUUGGAGCGGCCGAUAUCAGAUUAGGUAGUUGGUGAGGUAAAGGCUCACCAAGCCGACGAUCUGUAGCUGGUCUGAGAGGACGACCAGCCACACUGGGACUGAGACACGGCCCAGACUCCUACGGGAGGCAGCAGUGGGGAAUUUUGGACAAUGGGCGCAAGCCUGAUCCAGCAAUGCCGCGUGCAGGAUGAAGGCCUUCGGGUUGUAAACUGCUUUGUACGGAACGAAACGGUGAGCUCUAAUACAGUUUGCUAAUGACGGUACCGUAAGAAUAAGCACCGGCUAACUACGUG